Dreissena polymorpha is the source of this 2195-nucleotide long non-coding RNA. RefSeq lists it as uncharacterized. The transcript is spliced from 11 exons. The record is from RefSeq and is a predicted model, not a curated record. Lineage: Eukaryota; Metazoa; Mollusca; Bivalvia; Myida; Dreissenidae.
UUAACACAUGAAUUUCAGUUUGUUCGUUAAAGUACUAACUUAGCUGUGUAUUUUUACAGUGGACGUAGUGGUGCGGUGCAGGUGGUAGACUAGGUAUUUCCAUAUAUACACUAUGUUUACAGAAUUGCGGCCAGCUGAUGAGUUAAUAGCACUAGUUCUUCAGACAAAUAACUUUUUUUUCAACCUAUAAAGCAUAUUUAGCUGUAGUUGGGGCCAAUUAGCUGUAAGAUCUGGCUUUUGUUCUGUUAAGCCCUUAGAGUAAUGAAUUUCAGAGUGAAGACCAUAGCGCCUUUUCCUAGUCAAGUAUCGGGCAGCUGUAUGUCUUUUCAGAAAUGCACAUGUCUUUUUAAGCAUGUCAUUGUGUUUGCUUUUAAUAAGAUAGGCAAUAAACUCAUCACCUUUAGACAAAUGAGCAUCUGUAAAUUCAGAUUUCACUAUUUCAGAGUCAGCCAGACCAUGAUUGAGCUUAAGGGUUGUGCUGCGGAUGCAGCCUGUGCAGUUCCGGGAGAAAGUCACUGUCUCGGGCAAUGCGGUCUGGUAUCAGGUCUGGAUGAUCCUUGCCUGACUGCGGGUUUGUGUACACCUCAAUCCGACUCUGUGUCCUGAACAGAGGCCGCAGUGGUGCAGCGCUUGUGGACGAUCCAUCAACAUCCUGAAAGGUCAACACUACACCAAGCUGGGAAAAUUGAUCCUGAUAGUCAUCCCCAGGCCUGACCGUUUGUCCUUGAGCCGUAGAUGGUCAACAAUCCGCUAGCUGUCUUGCUCUGACUGGUGCACUGGACAUGAUUUCAAUAGUCAGCCAGACCAUGAUUGAGCUUAAGGGUUGUGCUGCGGAUGCAGCCUGUGCAGUUCCGGGAGAAAGUCACUGUCUCGGGCAAUGCGGUCUGGUAUCAGGUCUGGAUGAUCCUUGCCUGACUGCGGGUUUGUGUACACCUCAAUCCGACUCUGUGUCCUGAACAGAGGCCGCAGUGGUGCAGCGCUUGUGGACGAUCCAUCAACAUCCUGAAAGGUCAACACUACACCAAGCUGGGAAAAUUGAUCCUGAUAGUCAUCCCCAGGCCUGACCGUUUGUCCUUGAGCCGUAGAUGGUCAACAAUCCGCUAGCUGUCUUGCUCUGACUGGUGCACUGGACAUGAUUUCAAUAGUCAGCCAGACCAUGAUUGAGCUUAAGGGUUGUGCUGCGGAUGCAGCCUGUGCAGUUCCGGGAGAAAGUCACUGUCUCGGGCAAUGCGGUCUGGUAUCAGGUCUGGAUGAUCCUUGCCUGACUGCGGGUUUGUGUACACCUCAAUCCGACUCUGUGUCCUGAACAGAGGCCGCAGUGGUGCAGCGCUUGUGGACGAUCCAUCAACAUCCUGAAAGGUCAACACUACACCAAGCUGGGAAAAUUGAUCCUGAUAGUCAUCCCCAGGCCUGACCGUUUGUCCUUGAGCCGUAGAUGGUCAACAAUCCGCUAGCUGUCUUGCUCUGACUGGUGCACUGGACAUGAUUUCAAUCCAGACCAUGAUUGAGCUUAAGGGUUGUGCUGCGGAUGCAGCCUGUGCAGUUCCGGGAGAAAGUCACUGUCUCGGGCAAUGCGGUCUGGUAUCAGGUCUGGAUGAUCCUUGCCUGACUGCGGGUUUGUGUACACCUCAAUCCGACUCUGUGUCCUGAACAGAGGCCGCAGUGGUGCAGCGCUUGUGGACGAUCCAUCAACAUCCUGAAAGGUCAACACUACACCAAGCUGGGAAAAUUGAUCCUGAUAGUCAUCCCCAGGUAGUGGAAUGAAUGUUCACUGAACUACAGAGGAAUCACACCCAAAUGACUUUCCUGCCACGACAUUAGUGUGGCCACUCGCGUAGGAAUUCCUUAGCAAACAUGCUCUUUUGCAUGGUGACUGUGGACAUUUUUGCAAAACUUACGCUUUCAACACUGGAUUUUAAAGAGAAUACUUAAUAAAAUGUCGCUAACAGGACUUAUUUAUAUGAGAGAGACUAUCUGGAUGCGCAUUAAGUGUCACUUUGUGUCGUAAGCUGUUGAAGGAGCGAUUUGCGCCUUUUUAAGUGUUCAUUUUGGGUAGCCGGCUUGUAUCGGCUUGAAAGCUGAAAAUUAUGCCUCUCAUCAUAAUAGCAUUAAUUUUUGUAAUUGCAAUGUGUAUGUUUAGAUUGUAAGUGAAGCUUUUAAUAAUGAUUUUCUUAAAAAACAUGAUUUUAUAUGCU